This 274-nucleotide ribosomal RNA is filed under the name uncultured bacterium. RNAcentral describes it as "partial 16S ribosomal RNA". It matches the Rfam family "Bacterial small subunit ribosomal RNA", at positions 523 to 796 of the family's 1533-position model. The record is from RNAcentral.
CUACGGAGGUUGCAAGCGUUGUUCGGAAUUAUUGGGCGUAAAGAGCAUGUAGGCGGUUCGUUAAGUCUGAUGUGAAAGCCCGGGGCUCAACCCCGGAAGUGCAUUGGAUACUGGCGAACUUGAGUACGGGAGAGGAAAGUGGAAUUUCGAGUGUAGGGGUGAAAUCCGUAGAUAUUCGAAGGAACACCAGUGGCGAAGGCGGCUUUCUGGACCGAUACUGACGCUGAGAUGCGAAAGCGUGGGGAGCAAACAGGAUUAGAAACCCUAGUAGUCC